UACACUCCUACGGGAGGCAGCAGUGGGGAAUUUUGGACAAUGGGCGAAAGCCUGAUCCAGCAAUGCCGCGUGUGUGAAGAAGGCCUUCGGGUUGUAAAGCACUUUUGUCCGGAAAGAAAUCCUUGGCUCUAAUACAGUCGGGGGAUGACGGUACCGGAAGAAUAAGCACCGGCUAACUACGUGCCAGCAGCCGCGGUAAUACGUAGGGUGCGAGCGUUAAUCGGAAUUACUGGGCGUAAAGCGUGCGCAGGCGGUUUGCUAAGACCGAUGUGAAAUCCCCGGGCUCAACCUGGGAACUGCAUUGGUGACUGGCAGGCUAGAGUAUGGCAGAGGGGGGUAGAAUUCCACGUGUAGCAGUGAAAUGCGUAGAGAUGUGGAGGAAUACCGAUGGCGAAGGCAGCCCCCUGGGCCAAUACUGACGCUCAUGCACGAAAGCGUGGGGAGCAAACAGGAUUAGAUACCCUAGUAGUCCCAUG
Molecule: ribosomal RNA, 476 nt
Filed under: uncultured organism
Description: partial 16S ribosomal RNA
Rfam family: Bacterial small subunit ribosomal RNA
Source: RNAcentral